Molecule: ribosomal RNA, 492 nt
Filed under: uncultured bacterium
Lineage: Bacteria
Description: partial 16S ribosomal RNA
Rfam family: Bacterial small subunit ribosomal RNA
Source: RNAcentral
AGUGAACGCUGGCGGUAGGCCUAACACAUGCAAGUCGAACGGCAGCACAGUAAGGGCUUGCUCUUACGGGUGGCGAGUGGCGGACGGGUGAGGAAUACAUCGGAAUCUACUUUUUCGUAGGGGAUAACGUAGGGAAACUUACGCUAAUACCGCAUACGACCUACGGGUGAAAGCAGGGGAUCUUCGGACCUUGCGCGAUUGAAUGAGCCGAUGUCGGAUUAGCUAGUUGGCGGGGUAAAGGCCCACCAAGGCGACGAUCCGUAGCUGGUCUGAGAGGAUGAUCAGCCACACUGGAACUGAGACACGGUCCAGACUCCUACGGGAGGCAGCAGUGGGGAAUAUUGGACAAUGGGCGCAAGCCUGAUCCAGCCGUACCGCGUGGGUGAAGAAGGCCUUCGGGUUGUAAAGCCCUUUUGUUGGGAAAGAAAAGCAGCAGGUUAAUACCCCGCUGUUCUGACGGUACCCAAAGAAUAAGCACCGGCUAACUUCGUG